RNAcentral lists this ribosomal RNA (440 nucleotides) under uncultured bacterium. Its description in RNAcentral is "partial 16S ribosomal RNA". It matches the Rfam family "Bacterial small subunit ribosomal RNA", at positions 338 to 795 of the family's 1533-position model. The record is from RNAcentral.
CCUACGGGCGGCAGCAGUGGGGAAUAUUGCACAAUGGAGGAAACUCUGAUGCAGCGACGCCGCGUGAGUGAAGAAGUAAUUCGUUACGUAAAGCUCUAUCAGCAGGGAAGAAAAUGACGGUACCUGCGUAAGAAGCACCGGCUAACUACGUGCCGGCAGCCGCGGGAGUACGUAGGGGGCAAGCGUUAUCCGGCUUUACUGGGUGUAAAGGGAGCGUAGACGGUGCGCCAAGUCUGUAGUGAACUGCCGCAGCUUAACUGCGGAGCUUCUUUGGAAACUGGCGAACUAGAGUGCGGGAGGGGUAAGCGGAAUUCCUAGUGUAGCGGUGAAAUGCGUAGAUAUUAGGAGGAACACCGGUGGCGAAGGCGGCUUACUGGACCGUAACUGACGUUGAGGCUCGAAAGCGUGGGGAGCAAACAGGAUUAGAUACCCCAGUAGUC